GACGAGCUCUCCAAACGUUAUUCGGUAUCACUGGGCUUAAAGAGUUCGUAGGCGGCCUAGCAGGUCAGGUGUGAAAUCCCACAGCUCAACUGUGGAAUAGCGCUUGAAACCGCUGGGCUUGAGGGAGAUAGAGGUAGGCGGAACAGAUGGUGGAGCGGUGAAAUGCGUUGAUAUCAUCUGGAACACCGGUGGCGAAAGCGGCCUACUGGGUCUUUUCUGACGCUGAGGAACGAAAGCUAGGGUAGCGAACGGGAUUAGAUACCCCGGUAGUCCUAGCCGUAAACGAUGAGCACUAGUCCGAGGGAACCCUCACAUUUUCUCGGACGUAGCGAAAGUGUUAAGUGCUCCGCCUGGGGAGUAUGGUCGCAAGGCUGAA
Molecule: ribosomal RNA, 376 nt
Filed under: uncultured bacterium
Lineage: Bacteria
Description: bacterial SSU rRNA
Rfam family: Bacterial small subunit ribosomal RNA
Source: RNAcentral